GACGAACGCUGGCGGCGUGCUUAACACAUGCAAGUCGAACGGAAAGGCCCUGCUUUUGUGGGGUGCUCGAGUGGCGAACGGGUGAGUAACACGUGAGUAACCUGCCCUUGACUUUGGGAUAACUUCAGGAAACUGGGGCUAAUACCGGAUAGGAGCUCCUGCUGCAUGGUGGGGGUUGGAAAGUUUCGGCGGUUGGGGAUGGACUCGCGGCUUAUCAGCUUGUUGGUGGGGUAGUGGCUUACCAAGGCUUUGACGGGUAGCCGGCCUGAGAGGGUGACCGGCCACAUUGGGACUGAGAUACGGCCCAGACUCCUACGGGAGGCAGCAGUGGGGAAUAUUGCACAAUGGGCCGAAGCCUGAUACAGCAACGCCGCGUGCGGGAUAACGGCUUUCGGGGUGUAAACCGCUUUCGCCUGUGACGAAGCGUGAGUGACGGUAAUGGGUAAAGAAGCACCGGCUAACUACGUG
Molecule: ribosomal RNA, 468 nt
Filed under: uncultured bacterium
Lineage: Bacteria
Description: partial 16S ribosomal RNA
Rfam family: Bacterial small subunit ribosomal RNA
Source: RNAcentral